CCUACGGGUGGCAGCAGUGAGGAAUAUUGGUCAAUGGACGAGAGUCUGAACCAGCCAAGUAGCGUGAAGGAUGACUGCCCUAUGGAUUGUAAGCUUCUUUUAUAAAGGAAUAAAACGCGGCACGUGUGCCUUUUUGCAUGUACUUUAUUGAUAAGGAUCGGCUAACUCCGUGCCAGCAGCCGCGGUAAUACGGAGGCUCCGGGCGUUAUCCGGAUUUAUUGGGUUUAAAGGGAGCGUAGAUGGGUUGUUAAGUCAGUUGUGAAAGUUUGCGGCUCAACCGUAAAAUUGCAAUUGAUACUGGGAGGCUUGAGUAUAGUUGAGGUAGGCGGAAUUCGUGGUGUAGCGGUGAAAUGCUUAGAUAUUACGAAGAACCCCGAUUGCGAAGGCAGCUUACUAAACUGUGACUGACAUUGAUGCUCGAAAGUGUGGGGAUCAAACAGGAUUAGAUACCCCUGUAGUC
Molecule: ribosomal RNA, 460 nt
Filed under: uncultured bacterium
Lineage: Bacteria
Description: partial 16S ribosomal RNA
Rfam family: Bacterial small subunit ribosomal RNA
Source: RNAcentral